RNAcentral lists this ribosomal RNA (402 nucleotides) under bacterium. RNAcentral's name for it is "partial 16S ribosomal RNA". It matches the Rfam family "Bacterial small subunit ribosomal RNA", at positions 355 to 776 of the family's 1533-position model. The record is from RNAcentral.
UGGGGAAUUUUGCACAAUGGGGGAAACCCUGAUGCAGCGACGCCGCGUGAUUUAGAAGGCCUUCGGGUUGUAAAAAUCUUUUCUAUGGGAAGAAAAUGACAGUACCAUAGGAAUAAGGACCGGCUAAUUACGUGCCAGCAGCCGCGGUAAUACGUAAGGUCCGAGCGUUGUCCGGAAUCAUUGGGCGUAAAGGGUACGUAGGCGGGUAAGCAAGUUAGAAGUGAAAUCCUAUAGCUCAACUAUAGUAAGCUUUUAAAACUGCUCAUCUUGGGGUAUGGAAGGGAAAGUGGAAUUCAUAGUGUAGCGGUGAAAUGCGCAGAGAUUAGGAGGAGUACCGGUGGCGAAGGCGACUUUCUGGCCAUAACCUGACGCUGAGGUACGAAAGCGUGGGUAGCAAACAGG